AGAGUUUGAUCCUGGCUCAGGACGAACGCUGGCGGCGUGCUUAACACAUGCAAGUCACGGGGGCCCGCAAGGGCAACCGGCGAACGGGUGCGUAACACGUGAGCAACCUGCCUUUGUGUGGGGGAUAGCCGGGCUAACGCCCGGGNUAAUACCGCAUACGGUCACCGGGAGGAGUCUCCUGGUGAAGAAACCUCCGGGGCACAAAGAGGGGCUCGCGGCCUAUCAGCUAGUUGGCGGGGUAAUGGCCCACCAAGGCGACGACGGGUAGCUGGUCUGAGAGGAUGGCCAGCCACAUUGGGACUGAGACACGGCCCAGACUCCUACGGGAGGCAGCAGUGGGGAAUCUUGCACAAUGGGGGCAACCCUGAUGCAGCGACGCCGCGUGGAGGAUGAAGGAUCUAGGUCUGUAAACUCCUUUUUCACGGAAAGACUUAGGACGGUACCGUGAGAAUAAGCUCCGGCUAACUACGUGCCAGCAGCCGCGGUAAGACGUAGGGAGCAAGCGUUGUCCGGAUUUACUGGGCGUAAAGGGCGCGUGGGCGGUCUGUUAAGUGAGUACUGAAAUCUCCAGGGCUUAACCCGGAAACUGGUUCUCAUACUGGCAGACUGGAGGAAGGCAGAGGUAACUGGAAUUCCUGGNUGUAGCGGUGAAAUGCGUUGAUAUCAGGAGGAACUCCAAUGGCGAAGGCA
RNAcentral lists this ribosomal RNA (690 nucleotides) under uncultured bacterium. RNAcentral describes it as "bacterial SSU rRNA". It matches the Rfam family "Bacterial small subunit ribosomal RNA", at positions 8 to 723 of the family's 1533-position model. The record is from RNAcentral.